Molecule: ribosomal RNA, 474 nt
Filed under: uncultured soil bacterium
Lineage: Bacteria
Description: bacterial SSU rRNA
Rfam family: Bacterial small subunit ribosomal RNA
Source: RNAcentral
AGCGGCGGACGGGUGAGUAAUACAUGGGUAAUCUUUGCUUGAGCUCGGGAUAACCCCGCGAAAGUGGGGCUAAUACCGGAUAAGACCACCUCAGGAAAAGGUGCACUUGGGAAUGAGCCCAUGUCCUAUCAGCUUGUUGGUGAGGUAAGAGCUCACCAAGGCUAUGACGGGUAGCUGGUCUAAGAGGACGGCCAGCCACACUGGGACUGAGACACGGCCCAGACUCCUACGGGAGGCAGCAGUGGGGAAUAUUGGGCAAUGGGCGAAAGCCUGACCCAGCGACGCCAUGUGGGUGAUGAAGGCCUUCGGGUUGUAAAGCCCUGUUAGGUGGGAAGAAUGACGGUACCACCGGAGAAAGCACCGGCUAACUCCGUGCCAGCAGACGCGGUAAUACGGAGGGUGCAAGCGUUGUUCGGAAUUACUGGGCGUAAAGGGCGCGUAGGCGGUAAUGUAAGUCAGACGUGAAAUCCUUCG